GAUGUGUUCCGAAUUUGGAAGGAAGAUUUCAGACCUGGUGGUGAAUGAAUUGUGGGUCACAGAUGGACCUCAGUGGGUUACCUGAGCGUGGGGCCGGGUUUUUCCAAGAUGAAAGGACUACUCCUUGAGCAACUGUGCUAAAGAGCUUUGUAUGCUCUGAGAUGGCUGAAAUGAAGAUUUGAACCAAGGUUCAAGAAGCUGUAAUUUGGAAAAGAUGAGCCUUAUGAACCCAGAUCUAGGCAUUGUAAGUGUCUAAACCAAAAGGUGCUUGCACCCUACAAGCUGAUGGAAUGAAGACCAGGUGUUGACUGAAGACCCCAGUGACCAAGCUGUGAUGGCAGAAUUAUCUUCGAUUUAAUGUUCAUUUCACUUCGUGCAUAUUCUGAAAUGAUUCCAAUAAAGCCUGUAAAACAUCUG
This is a long non-coding RNA of Megalops cyprinoides (Indo-Pacific tarpon), 417 nucleotides long. RefSeq lists it as uncharacterized. The transcript has 5 exons. The record is from RefSeq and is a predicted model, not a curated record. Lineage: Eukaryota; Metazoa; Chordata; Actinopteri; Elopiformes; Megalopidae.